This 387-nucleotide ribosomal RNA is filed under the name uncultured bacterium. RNAcentral describes it as "bacterial SSU rRNA". It matches the Rfam family "Bacterial small subunit ribosomal RNA", at positions 29 to 417 of the family's 1533-position model. The record is from RNAcentral.
AUUGAACGCUGGCGGCAUGCUUUACACAUGCAAGUCGAACGGCAGCACGGGCUUCGGCCUGGUGGCGAGUGGCGAACGGGUGAGUAAUGCAUCGGAACGUACCGUGUAAUGGGGGAUAACGUAGCGAAAGUUACGCUAAUACCGCAUACGCCCUGAGGGGGAAAGCGGGGGAUCGUAAGACCUCGCGUUAUACGAGCGGCCGAUGUCGGAUUAGCUAGUUGGUGGGGUAAAGGCCUACCAAGGCGACGAUCCGUAGCGGGUCUGAGAGGAUGAUCCGCCACACUGGGACUGAGACACGGCCCAGACUCCUACGGGAGGCAGCAGUGGGGAAUUUUGGACAAUGGGCGCAAGCCUGAUCCAGCCAUGCCGCGUGAGUGAAGAAGGCCU